UUUGGGCUUUGGUGGUCCCUGCGCACCAGUGGGCACCUUUGGAUACUGGAUGCAACCGGCUGGAGAUGGUAUCUCGGGAUAUCUUCAACCGGGCUGGCUGGCGGUGUUCUAGUCGUCUAGAGGCAUAGAAUCUCUAUGUUUGCUUUACUUCGUUGGCUUAUCCUUGUAUCCACGAUCGUUGAUCGGUGAAUUUGAUGACUUAUUUCUUUAAAACUUUGCAAUAAAAAUGGUUGUGUGCAUCUAUUGAUGCAGAGG
RNAcentral lists this long non-coding RNA (255 nucleotides) under Brachypodium distachyon (stiff brome). Its description in RNAcentral is "long non-coding RNA (BDIS_LNC001459)". The record is from RNAcentral. Lineage: Eukaryota; Viridiplantae; Streptophyta; Magnoliopsida; Poales; Poaceae.